GAUGAACGCUGGCGGCGUGCCUAAUACAUGCCAGUCGAGCGAACGGACGAGAAGCUUGCUUCUCUGAUGUUAGCGGCGGACGGGUGAGUAACACGUGAUAACCUACCUAUAAGACUGGGAUAAACUCGGGAAACCGGAGCCAAUACCGGAUAAAAUUUUGAAACGCAUGGUUCAAAAGUGAAAGACGGUCUUGCUGUUACUUAUAGAUGGAUCCGCGCUGCAUUAGCUAGUUGGUAAGGUAACGGCUUACCAAGGCAACGAUGCAUAGCCGACCUGAGAGGGUGAUCGGCCACACUGGAACUGAGACACGGUCCAGACUCCUACGGGAGGCAGCAGUAGGGAAUCUUCCGCAAUGGGCGAAAGCCUGACGGAGCAACGCCGCGUGAGUGAUGAAGGUCUUCGGAUCGUAAAACUCUGUUAUUAGGGAAGAACAUAUGUGUAAGUAACUGUGCACAUCUUGACGGUACCUAAUCAGAAAGCCACGGCUAACUACGUG
Molecule: ribosomal RNA, 496 nt
Filed under: uncultured bacterium
Lineage: Bacteria
Description: partial 16S ribosomal RNA
Rfam family: Bacterial small subunit ribosomal RNA
Source: RNAcentral